AACGACCGCUGGCGGCGCGCCUAACACAUGCAAGUCGAACGCGAAAGAGGGGCAACCCUUGAGUAAAGUGGCGCACGGGUGAGUAAUACGUAGGUGAUCUCCCUCCGCAACCGGGAUAACCAGUCGAAAGAUUGGCUAAUACUGGAUAGAGCGCAGUAACUGUAAGGGUUAUUGCGGGAAAGGGUGGCAUUCACACUGAGUUCUUUAGUUGAAGACAACGGCCGAGUUGAAGGCAAAACGGCCGAGUUGGAAGCGAUUAGAGAAUUGAGAGUGAGUGCUACUGUGCUGAGAUGAGCCUGCGUCUCAUUAGCUAGUUGGUAGGGUAAUGGCCUACCAAGGCUAUGAUGGGUAGCUGGUCUGAGAGGACGAUCAGCCACACUGGAACUGAAACACGGUCCAGACUCCUACGGGAGGCAGCAGUGGGAAUCUUGCGCAAUGGACGAAAGUCUGACGCAGCGACGCCGCGUGAGUGAAGAAGGCC
RNAcentral lists this ribosomal RNA (481 nucleotides) under uncultured bacterium. RNAcentral's name for it is "bacterial SSU rRNA". It matches the Rfam family "Bacterial small subunit ribosomal RNA", at positions 29 to 416 of the family's 1533-position model. The record is from RNAcentral.